Non-coding RNA from Copromyces sp. CBS 386.78, 83 nucleotides. The record is from the annotation of a GenBank genome assembly. Lineage: Eukaryota; Fungi; Ascomycota; Sordariomycetes; Sordariales; Sordariaceae.
GGUUGCGUGGCCCAGUGGUUAAGGCAUCUGCUUUACAAUUACGAAAACGCAGAGGAUCGCAGGUUCGAGCCCUGCCGCGAUCA